Molecule: long non-coding RNA, 277 nt
Filed under: Cricetulus griseus (Chinese hamster)
Lineage: Eukaryota; Metazoa; Chordata; Mammalia; Rodentia; Cricetidae
Description: lncRNA (ENSCGRG00000026194.1)
Source: RNAcentral
CGGGACGUCCCGGAGGUUACUGAGUGUUGUGGUGUCCUGAACAGUUUUCAGGAAAAGAGGCUUCUGAGGCUCGCUGUCAAUGUGCUGCAUAGUAAAUUACCCAGACCGAAUCCUGAUCUUGACUGCCAUGACAGCCUAAGUACCCAUCUCCACUGAGCUGCUCACAGAAUUCCAUUACUGAGCUUGCCCUCUUCUGCCUGUGGACAGCUGCUAAGAUCUAGAACCUACCUGAGCUGUUAUUAUUUUUUUCUCUCAAACCCCAAUAAAAUUGUUCUGG